CCUUACAUCAAGAUAAAAAUUAAGUUAAAUGAAUGUGUUGUUUCUUUAGGUAUCUUACAUAUACAUCCACACAGCGCAGGUAACAAACUCUGAAAUCAAGAUAAAAAUUAAGUUAAAUGCAUGUGUUGUUACUAUAGGAUCUUACAUAUGCAUCCACACAACGUAGGUAACAGACCCUUACAUCAAGAUAAAAAUUAAUUUAAAUGAAUAAGUUGUUUCUUUAGGUAUCUUACAUAUACAUCCACACAGCGCAGGUAACAUACCCUGAAAUCAAGAUAAAAAUUAAGUUAAAUGAAUGUGUUGUUUUUUUAGGUAUCUUAAAUAUACAUCCACACAGCGCAGGUAACAGACCCUUACAUCAAGAUAGAAAUUAAGUUAAAUGAAUGUGUUGUUUCUUUAGGUAUCUUACAUAUAAAUCCACACAGCGCAGGUAACAGACCCUUACAUCAAGAUAAAAAUUAAGUUAAAUGAAUGUGUUGUUUCUUUAGGUAUCUUACAUAUACAUCCACACAGCGCAGGUAACAUACCCUUACAUCAAGAUAAAAAUUAAUUUAAAUGAAUAAGUUGUUUCUUUAGGUAUCUUACAUAUACAUCCACACAGCGCAGGUAACAUACCCUUACAUCAAGAUAAAAAUUAAGUUCAUAUACAUCCACACAGCACAGGUAACAGACCCUUACAUCAAGAUAAAAAUUAAGUUAAAUGAAUGUUUUGUUUCUUUAGGUAUCUUAAAUAUACAUCCACACAGCGCAGGUAACAGACCCUGAAAUCAAGAUUAAAAUUAAGUUAAAUGAAUGGGUUGUUUCUUAAUGUAUCUAAUAUAUACAUACACAUAGCGCAGAAAACAAACCCUGAAAUCAUGGUAAAAAAUAAGUCAAAUGAAUGUGUUGUUUCUUUAGGUAUCUUACAUAUACAUCCACACAGCGCAGGUAACAGACCCUUACAUCAAGAUAGAAAUUAAGUUAAAUGAAUGUGUUGUUUCUUUAUGUAUCUUACAUAUACAUACACAUAGCGCAGGUAACACAUUAAACCCUGAAAUCAAGAUUAAAAUU
RNAcentral lists this long non-coding RNA (1050 nucleotides) under Mytilus galloprovincialis (Mediterranean mussel). Lineage: Eukaryota; Metazoa; Mollusca; Bivalvia; Mytilida; Mytilidae. The record is from RNAcentral.